Molecule: long non-coding RNA, 815 nt
Filed under: Gossypium barbadense (sea-island cotton)
Lineage: Eukaryota; Viridiplantae; Streptophyta; Magnoliopsida; Malvales; Malvaceae
Description: long non-coding RNA (GBAR_LNC004249)
Source: RNAcentral
GCCGUCGAAUCACCGAUUCAAGAAAAGACGCUAGAACACGUUGGAGGAACUCCUGAAGUGCCCACCUGGAAAAGCCAAUGAAGAACGCCACCACCUCUUGGAUCACGAGGUCGGUCCCUUUCCAAGAAUAGCGUCACAGAGAGCACCCCUUCUUUGAAGUCUGCCACCGUUCACAGUUCCUCAACCUAGCAGGCUCCCCAAUGAGAAGGUAGCCAAGAUCGAGCUAAAACUCAAUUUCAACAAAACACUCGCUCACAACGAAAACCAAACAGUCGAAGAAAAAUAGCGAUUAAAGUUGCAGCAAGCUCGAUUAGCAAAAAGAAAAUAAAACCGGAAACCACCACAAGAACUUAAAGCAAAAAGAAGACAAAAGUGUAAUAAAGUCAAAAUAAAAGCAAGAACGAAAAAAUCAGCCAAUAAAAUUACUAAAAAACUGCUUUACAACCGUCUUAACUAUAAAAACUAUAAAACAUAAAACAUACACUAAUGUAAUUAAAGAAAACAUAAGGAAUCAUGCAAGAAAGACAAAUUUCACCGCCUGGAUGUUGCAUCUCCCAAGAACAGCCAUGGCGUGACACCUUUCACGGCCAACGGAUCAGAAUGCCACCGACACGAUCAUUUCCUUCAUAAUGCAUCACUGCAACAAGAGUCGAUUUUCAAUGCAAAAUAAAGACCACCACCGUCUAAGUAUUCCUUAAUAAAAAAUUCAGACGGACACACGCAAAGCCACCACCAAAUCGAGCCACAAAACACGAAGGUGGAAAACAAGAACACAAAUCGCCCAAAUCUUUAGAGCAAAAAGGUAAUCAUUUUAC